UGGGGAAUAUUGGGCAAUGGGCGAAAGCCUGACCCAGCAACGCCGCGUGAAGGAAGAAGGCCUUCGGGUUGUAAACUUCUUUUACCAGGGACGAACAAAUGACGGUACCUGGAGAAAAAGCAACGGCUAACUACGUGCCAGCAGCCGCGGUAAUACGUAGGUUGCAAGCGUUGUCCGGAUUUACUGGGUGUAAAGGGCGUGUAGGCGGAGAUGCAAGUUGGGAGUGAAAUCCCGGGGCUCAACCCCGGAACUGCUUUCAAAACUGUAUCCCUUGAGUGUCGGAGAGGCAAGCGGAAUUCCUAGUGUAGCGGUGAAAUGCGUAGAUAUUAGGAGGAACACCAGUGGCGAAGGCGGCUUGCUGGACGAUAACUGACGCUGAGGCGCGAAAGCGUGGGGAGCAAACAGG
Molecule: ribosomal RNA, 406 nt
Filed under: uncultured bacterium
Lineage: Bacteria
Description: bacterial SSU rRNA
Rfam family: Bacterial small subunit ribosomal RNA
Source: RNAcentral